CUACGGGACGCUGCAGGCGAGAAAACUUUGCAAUGUGCGAAAGCACGACAAGGUUAAUCCGAGUGGUUUGUGCUAAACGAACCUUUUGACAGUCCUAGAAACACUGUUGAAUAAGGGGUGGGCAAGUUCUGGUGUCAGCCGCCGCGGUAAAACCAGCACCUCAAGUGGUCAGGAUGAUGAUUGGGCCUAAAGCAUCCGUAGCCGGCUCUGUAAGUUUUCGGUUAAAUCUGUACGCUCAACGUACAGGCUGCCGGGAAUACUGCAGAGCUAGGGAGUGGGAGAGGUAGACGGUACUCGGUAGGAAGGGGUAAGAUCCUUUGAUCUAUUGAUGACCACCUGUGGCGAAGGCGGUCUACCAGAACACGUCCGACGGUGAGGGAUGAAAGCUGGGGGAGCAAACCGGAUUAGAUACCCCUGUAGUC
This 422-nucleotide ribosomal RNA is filed under the name uncultured archaeon. Its description in RNAcentral is "partial 16S ribosomal RNA". It matches the Rfam family "Archaeal small subunit ribosomal RNA", at positions 323 to 746 of the family's 1478-position model. The record is from RNAcentral.